Long non-coding RNA from Gavia stellata (red-throated loon), 538 nucleotides. RefSeq lists it as uncharacterized. Lineage: Eukaryota; Metazoa; Chordata; Aves; Gaviiformes; Gaviidae. The transcript is spliced from 3 exons. The record is from RefSeq and is a predicted model, not a curated record.
UGGAAUGAGGGGAGUUCUGCAGGAAGGCUUCCUGCAGGGAAGUACUGGAGCAGGAGGGGAAAAUGCAGAAGGUCCUGAAAAACAAAACGUACUUUCCAAAGGAAAAAGGUGUCUGGAAACAUCUUUUUUUAAAAACAAAAAAACCCAUGCCUUAAGUUUCUGCUAGAUCACUUGGAACAGUAUUAACACCUUUGAGAAACUGACCUACUUCUAAGGUAAGGAUGAGACGUGCUGUAUUCUAAGCAGCAAAGGAGAUAUGGGCAGAAGAGAACCAGAGAAGAUGGCCGACAUCAAAGCACCGUCCACAUAAAUUCCCCUCUCUAGCUACCCACUUCUGACUGAAUCAGGAAAGAGAGAUGGCCCCUACCAAACAUACCUUCUACGCAACAUCAUCCUCUGACUGCAUCACAUACCAGAAGAGCACCUGUACCCUCCCCUCCCUCUGCGUCCAAUUUCAGUUGCUCCUUGUACAACUUCUGCCUAGCAAGUCAAUUAUGGUCCUGUCUCAUGUGAAGAUCAAUAAAUUUCAGCAAUUCUC